Molecule: ribosomal RNA, 467 nt
Filed under: uncultured bacterium
Lineage: Bacteria
Description: bacterial SSU rRNA
Rfam family: Bacterial small subunit ribosomal RNA
Source: RNAcentral
AGAGUUUGAUCAUGGCUCAGAUUGAACGCUGGCGGCAGGCUUAACACAUGCAAGUCGAACGGUAACAGAACUAGCUUGCUAGUUGCUGACGAGUGGCGGACGGGUGAGUAACGCGUAGGAAUCUACCGAAUAGUGGGGGACAACAGUUGGAAACGGCUGCUAAUACCGCAUACGCCCUACGGGGGAAAGGAGGGGAUCUUCGGACCUUUCGCUAUUUGAUGAGCCUGCGUGAGAUUAGUUAGUUGGUGGGGUAAUGGCUCACUAAGGCGACGAUCUCUAGCUGGUCUGAGAGGAUGAUCAGCCACACUGGGACUGAGACACGGCCCAGACUCCUACGGGAGGCAGCAGUGGGGAAUAUUGCACAAUGGGGGAAACCCUGAUGCAGCCAUGCCGCGUGUGUGAAGAAGGCCUUCGGGUUGUAAAGCACUUUCAGUUGUGAGGAAAGGUUAAGGGUUAAUAACCCUUAG